GAUGAACGCUGGCGGCGUGCCUAAUACAUGCAAGUCGAGCGAACAGACGAGGAGCUUGCUCCUCUGACGUUAGCGGCGGACGGGUGAGUAACACGUGGAUAACCUACCUAUAAGACUGGGAUAACUUCGGGAAACCGGAGCUAAUACCGGAUAAUAUAUUCAACCGCAUGGUUCAAUAGUGAAAGACGGCUUUGCUGUCACUUAUAGACGGAUCCGCGUCGGAUUAGCUAGUUGGUAAGGUAACGGCCUACCAAGGCGACGAUGCGUAGCUGACCUGAGAGGGUGAUCAGCCACACUGGAACUGAGACACGGUCCAGACUCCUACGGGAGGCAGCAGUGGGGAAUCUUCGACAAUGGGCGAAAGCCUGACGCAGCAACGCCGCGUGAGUGAUGAAGGUCUUCGGGUCGUAAAGCUCUGUUGUUGGGAAAGAACAGAAGUAGAAGAAACUCUGGACGUCUUGACGGUACCUAAUCAGUAAGCCACGGCUAACUACGUG
Molecule: ribosomal RNA, 497 nt
Filed under: uncultured bacterium
Lineage: Bacteria
Description: partial 16S ribosomal RNA
Rfam family: Bacterial small subunit ribosomal RNA
Source: RNAcentral